GGAAGCACUUAGAACCCCCUCGGGCGUUGUGUUAAUAGUUGCGCUUUUGGCCGAGCGCGACGGUUAGUGAAUC
Molecule: non-coding RNA, 73 nt
Filed under: uncultured Prevotella sp.
Lineage: Bacteria; Pseudomonadati; Bacteroidota; Bacteroidia; Bacteroidales; Prevotellaceae
Description: L13-Bacteroidia ribosomal protein leader
Rfam family: L13-Bacteroidia ribosomal protein leader
Source: RNAcentral